RNAcentral lists this ribosomal RNA (564 nucleotides) under uncultured cyanobacterium. RNAcentral's name for it is "bacterial SSU rRNA". It matches the Rfam family "Bacterial small subunit ribosomal RNA", at positions 339 to 916 of the family's 1533-position model. The record is from RNAcentral. Lineage: Bacteria; Bacillati; Cyanobacteriota.
CUACGGGAGGCAGCAGUGGGGAAUUUUCCGCAAUGGGCGAAAGCCUGACGGAGCAAUACCGCGUGAGGGAGGAAGGCUCUUGGGUUGUAAACCUCUUUUCUCAGGGAAGAACAAAAUGACGGUACCUGAGGAAUAAGCAUCGGCUAACUCCGUGCCAGCAGCCGCGGUAAUACGGAGGAUGCAAGCGUUAUCCGGAAUUAUUGGGCGUAAAGCGUCCGCAGGUGGCAGUUCAAGUCUGCUGUCAAAGGUCAGGGCUCAACCCUGAACAGGCAGUGGAAACUGAACAGCUAGAGUGCGGUAGGGGCAGAGGGAAUUCCCAGUGUAGCGGUGAGAUGCGUAGAGAUUGGGAAGAACACCGGUGGCGAAAGCGCUCUGCUAGGCCUGCACUGACACUCAGGGACGAAAGCUAGGGGAGCGAAUGGGAUUAGAUACCCCAAUAGUCCUAGCCGUAAACGAUGGAUACUAGGCGUAGCUUGUAUCGACCCAAGCUGUGCCGUAGCUAACGCGUUAAGUAUCCCGCCUGGGGAGUACGCGCGCAAGCGUGAAACUCAAAGGAAUUGACGG